CCUUUUCUAAGAGAUGCUCCAGCUCCCCUUGGGAAGACUUGUUUAGCUACAAGGUUUAUAGAAGAUAUGUUAAUGCUGAAUCCCCUGUGUUAAGCUAGGGGUGCCUCAGAGCUCAGCCAUUUUUCUUCUCCAUCUCCAGGAGGCAGAGCUCUGUUCUAAAGCCACCCCAUUUGCUGCCCUGAUUCUGCCAUGGACACCAGGCUUCUUUGGGGUAUGGUCGUUUGUUUCCUGAGAUCAGGCUAUAUGGAAGACAAAGUCACUCAGACCCCAAGACACUUGGUCACAGCAAGAGGAGAGAAUGUGAUGCUGAGGUGUGACCCAAUCAAGCCACACGUUUAUAUUUUUUGGUAUCAACAGCUCCUGGGACAAGAAUUGAAGUUCAUGGGUUACCUUCAGAUUGAAAAAGUCUUAGACGAAUCAGGUGUGCCAAAAGCUCGAUUCUCAAUGGAUUGGCCCCGAAACUCAUCCUCUAAUUUGAAAAUCCAAUUCACCGAGCCUCAGGAUUCAGCUGUUUAUCUCUGUUCCAGCAGCCUAGCAGGAUUCAAUGAAAGACAGUACUUUGGCAGUGGUACUAGGCUGUUUGUUGCAGAUGACCUGACCAGGGUGACUCCUCCAAAGGUGACUGUAUUUCAGCCAUCUGAGGAAGAGAUGGAGGAGAAGGGAAAGGCCACACUGGUCUGUCUGGCCACAGGCUUCUACCCUGACCUUGUGGAGCUGAGAUGGUGGGUGAAUGGUCAGGAGACCCAAAUUGGGGUCAGCACAGACCCUCAACCCUCCAAGGAGCAGCCCGGUAACAACUUCUCCACCUACUCACUGAGCAGCCGCCUUCGGGUUUCUGCUCCCUUCUGGCGCAAUCCCAAGAACAGCUUCCGUUGCCAAGUACUGUUCAAUGGGAUCUCAGAGAAUGAGCCCUGGACAAGUAACCGGAGCAAACCCAUCACCCAGAAUGUCAGUGACCAGAUAUGGGGAAAAGCAGAUUGUGGUGUUACCUCUGAGUCCUAUCAACGAAGUAUCCAGUCUGCCACCUUCUUCUAUGAGAUUCUCUUGGGGAAAGCCAUGCUGUAUGGCCUGCUGGUCAGUGCCCUGGUGUGGAGAACCAUGGCCAAGAAAAAGCAUUCCUGAGGCUACCUGUGGUGAUAACAACAUGGAGGAGAAAGCAGGAGAAUUCAGCACCCUAUCUUGGCUACACUUUCUCUAUUCCUAUCCUGUGUUCCAGAAGAACUAUUAUUUCCUCAGUUCCCAUUGUCAUGUUUCAUAGGUCUCCUUAAAAAGAACUCUGAAGCUCACGGAGGACAAGGAUGGUGGCUUAAUCCUAAAGAAAUAAAAAAGGUCUUGCCCUGCUUAG
Non-coding RNA from Trichosurus vulpecula (common brushtail), 1345 nucleotides. Lineage: Eukaryota; Metazoa; Chordata; Mammalia; Diprotodontia; Phalangeridae. The record is from the annotation of a RefSeq genome assembly.